Molecule: transfer RNA, 86 nt
Filed under: Acinetobacter pittii
Lineage: Bacteria; Pseudomonadati; Pseudomonadota; Gammaproteobacteria; Moraxellales; Moraxellaceae
Description: tRNA-Leu
Rfam family: tRNA
About the family: Transfer RNA (tRNA) molecules are approximately 80 nucleotides in length. Their secondary structure includes four short double-helical elements and three loops (D, anti-codon, and T loops).
Source: RNAcentral
GGGGGCGUGGCGAAAUUGGUAGACGCACUGGAUUUAGGUUCCAGCGCCGCAAGGUGUAAGAGUUCGAGUCUCUUCGUUCUCCACCA